Molecule: ribosomal RNA, 1630 nt
Filed under: Escherichia coli
Lineage: Bacteria; Pseudomonadati; Pseudomonadota; Gammaproteobacteria; Enterobacterales; Enterobacteriaceae
Description: partial 23S ribosomal RNA
Rfam family: Bacterial large subunit ribosomal RNA
Source: RNAcentral
CGAAUGCUGACAUAAGUAACGAUAAAGCGGGUGAAAAGCCCGCUCGCCGGAAGACCAAGGGUUCCUGUCCAACGUUAAUCGGGGCAGGGUGAGUCGACCCCUAAGGCGAGGCCGAAAGGCGUAGUCGAUGGGAAACAGGUUAAUAUUCCUGUACUUGGUGUUACUGCGAAGGGGGGACGGAGAAGGCUAUGUUGGCCGGGCGACGGUUGUCCCGGUUUAAGCGUGUAGGCUGGUUUUCCAGGCAAAUCCGGAAAAUCAAGGCUGAGGCGUGAUGACGAGGCACUACGGUGCUGAAGCAACAAAUGCCCUGCUUCCAGGAAAAGCCUCUAAGCAUCAGGUAACAUCAAAUCGUACCCCAAACCGACACAGGUGGUCAGGUAGAGAAUACCAAGGCGCUUGAGAGAACUCGGGUGAAGGAACUAGGCAAAAUGGUGCCGUAACUUCGGGAGAAGGCACGCUGAUAUGUAGGUGAAGUCCCUCGCGGAUGGAGCUGAAAUCAGUCGAAGAUACCAGCUGGCUGCAACUGUUUAUUAAAAACACAGCACUGUGCAAACACGAAAGUGGACGUAUACGGUGUGACGCCUGCCCGGUGCCGGAAGGUUAAUUGAUGGGGUCAGCGCAAGCGAAGCUCUUGAUCGAAGCCCCGGUAAACGGCGGCCGUAACUAUAACGGUCCUAAGGUAGCGAAAUUCCUUGUCGGGUAAGUUCCGACCUGCACGAAUGGCGUAAUGAUGGCCAGGCUGUCUCCACCCGAGACUCAGUGAAAUUGAACUCGCUGUGAAGAUGCAGUGUACCCGCGGCAAGACGGAAAGACCCCGUGAACCUUUACUAUAGCUUGACACUGAACAUUGAGCCUUGAUGUGUAGGAUAGGUGGGAGGCUUUGAAGUGUGGACGCCAGUCUGCAUGGAGCCGACCUUGAAAUACCACCCUUUAAUGUUUGAUGUUCUAACGUGGACCCGUGAUCCGGGUUGCGGACAGUGUCUGGUGGGUAGUUUGACUGGGGCGGUCUCCUCCUAAAGAGUAACGGAGGAGCACGAAGGUUGGCUAAUCCUGGUCGGACAUCAGGAGGUUAGUGCAAUGGCAUAAGCCAGCUUGACUGCGAGCGUGACGGCGCGAGCAGGUGCGAAAGCAGGUCAUAGUGAUCCGGUGGUUCUGAAUGGAAGGGCCAUCGCUCAACGGAUAAAAGGUACUCCGGGGAUAACAGGCUGAUACCGCCCAAGAGUUCAUAUCGACGGCGGUGUUUGGCACCUCGAUGUCGGCUCAUCACAUCCUGGGGCUGAAGUAGGUCCCAAGGGUAUGGCUGUUCGCCAUUUAAAGUGGUACGCGAGCUGGGUUUAGAACGUCGUGAGACAGUUCGGUCCCUAUCUGCCGUGGGCGCUGGAGAACUGAGGGGGGCUGCUCCUAGUACGAGAGGACCGGAGUGGACGCAUCACUGGUGUUCGGGUUGUCAUGCCAAUGGCACUGCCCGGUAGCUAAAUGCGGAAGAGAUAAGUGCUGAAAGCAUCUAAGCACGAAACUUGCCCCGAGAUGAGUUCUCCCUGACCCUUUAAGGGUCCUGAAGGAACGUUGAAGACGACGACGUUGAUAGGCCGGGUGUGUAAGCGCAGCGAUGCGUUGAGCUAACCGGUAC